This 1293-nucleotide ribosomal RNA is filed under the name Euparatettix tridentatus. Its description in RNAcentral is "16S ribosomal RNA". The stretch from base 1049 to 1208 matches the Rfam family "Archaeal large subunit ribosomal RNA", at positions 2542 to 2701 of the family's 2987-position model. The record is from RNAcentral. Lineage: Eukaryota; Metazoa; Arthropoda; Insecta; Orthoptera; Tetrigidae.
UCAUUGAAUAAUUUUUUUUUGUUGUUUUUGUGAUUUUUUUAUUAAAGUAGUUUUAUUGGGUUUUUUUUUAGUAGUUUAUUUUGAAAUACUUGUUGUAAAUUAUAGUUUAUUUUUAAUGUAAAUGAUUUUUUUUAUUAUGUUGAAAGAAUUUUAUUUAUUUUACCUUUUGUAUCAGGGUUGAUCAAAUAAUUUGAUUUAAUUAUCUUUUCUCGAAUUGGGGUGAUUUACUUUAAUAUGAUUUUUCAUGUUUCAUAAUGAUUUUUAAUUUUAACGUGGUAGUGAUAUUCUAUUCGUACUUCAAGAUAUCUAGUUUUCUGAGAUUAAAUUUAAUUUUAAUCUAAUUUUAAAUUAAAUAAUUUUUUAUUUAUUUUUUAAUUAGGUUGUAUUACUUAAGGGUUAAGCUUUGAGGUUGUAUUAUAAUUUUUUUUUUUAAUUUUUUUUAUAGGCUUGGAAUCGGCCAUUAUUUUAAUUACGUUUUAGUUUAAUUUAUGAUGUAAUUAUUUAUUAUUUUAUUUAGUUUUAUUAUUGGAAUUUGAUCUUAAAUAUUUUAUGUUCAUUAAUAAUGAUUGAAUUAGUAUAUUUUAUUGUUUAUAAUUUUUUUUAUAUGUAAUAUAUUUUAAAGGAACUCGGCAAUUUUUUGGUAUUUCCGCCUGUUUAUCAAAAACAUCUCUUUCAGAUUUUAUUGGAAGUUGUGCCUGCUCACUGAAAAUUAAAGAGCCGCGGUAUUUUGACCGUGCAAAGGUAGCAUAAUCAUUAGUAUAUUAAUUGUAUACUGGAAUGAAAGGUUUGACGAGAAAUACACUGUCUCUAUUAUAUUUAUAUAAUUUUACCUUCUAGUUAAAAGGCUGGGAUUUAUUUUUAGGACGAUAAGACCCUAUAGAGUUUGAUUUUAUUUAUUUUAUUAUUUUGGGUUAAUUUUUAUUAAUUAAUUUUAUUAUAAAUUUUGUUGGGGUGAUGUGAAUAAUAGAUAAACUAUUCAUUUUUUUUUUCAUUGAUUUAUGUUUUUUAUGAUCUUGUAUUAUUGAUAUUAAGAUAAAAUUACCUUAGGGAUAACAGCGCAAUUAUCUUUGAGAGUUCUUAUUGACAAGAUAGAUUGUGACCUCGAUGUUGGAUUAAGGUUGUUUUUAGGUGAAGGUGCUUAAUUAAAUUGGUCUGUUCGACCAUUAAAAUCUUACAUGAUCUGAGUUCAGACCGGCGUGAGCCAGGUUGGUUUCUAUCCAAAAUUUUUUUAUAUUUUCUAGUACGAAAGGACCGUUAAUUUUGAUUAUUUUAUUUUUUUUAUUGAUUAUUAUU